Molecule: ribosomal RNA, 492 nt
Filed under: uncultured bacterium
Lineage: Bacteria
Description: partial 16S ribosomal RNA
Rfam family: Bacterial small subunit ribosomal RNA
Source: RNAcentral
AGUGAACGCUGGCGGUAGGCCUAACACAUGCAAGUCGAACGGCAGCACAGUAAGAGCUUGCUCUUACGGGUGGCGAGUGGCGGACGGGUGAGGAAUACAUCGGAAUCUACUUUUUCGUGGGGGAUAACGUAGGGAAACUUACGCUAAUACCGCAUACGACCUACGGGUGAAAGCAGGGGAUCUUCGGACCUUGCGCGAUUGAAUGAGCCGAUGUCGGAUUAGCUAGUUGGCGGGGUAAAGGCCCACCAAGGCGACGAUCCGUAGCUGGUCUGAGAGGAUGAUAAGCCACACUGGAACUGAGACACGGUCCAGACUCCUACGGGAGGCAGCAGUGGGGAAUAUUGGACAAGGGGCGCAAGCCUGAUCCAGCCAUACCGCGUGGGUGAAGAAGGCCUUCGGGUUGUAAAGCCCUUUUGUUGGGAAAGAAAAGCAGCAGGUUAAUACCCCGCUGUUCUGACGGUACCCAAAGAAUAAGCACCGGCUAACUUCGUG